AUUUUUUAACUAUUAUGAUAUUCAUUUCAAAAGCGUCAAUUAUUGUGCGAUCGUCUGCUGACAUUUUCGUCGUUUUCAUUGUUUACACCAACGACGUCGAUAACAUUACAUCCCGACGAUCGCCGACGCUGAAAUUUGACGGUAGAAACGACAGAAUACUUACAAUUACAUGGAAAUGCAUGAAAAAUGAAGAAUAUUUAACCAACCAAUUCCACAAAAGAACAGCCAUGUUGUUUUGAUAACGAGCUUGUAUGUUGUGAGUCGACCCCUUGUAAGCAGACCACGUGACCGUUGACGAACUUACACGGGCUACAUGCAGGUUAAAAAAUGAUUUAUAUGAAAUUAGAAAAAGAAAUAUGUCCAUAUUAGACGCAAUACAGACCUUUUUUAGGAGAUUUGUAAAUUGUAACAGUGGGACUAUUUAAUUCCCUAAAGUGUACCAUAGUUUAAAGAUAUACUGACAGCCACC
Molecule: long non-coding RNA, 469 nt
Filed under: Mytilus galloprovincialis (Mediterranean mussel)
Lineage: Eukaryota; Metazoa; Mollusca; Bivalvia; Mytilida; Mytilidae
Source: RNAcentral